Molecule: long non-coding RNA, 203 nt
Filed under: Mytilus galloprovincialis (Mediterranean mussel)
Lineage: Eukaryota; Metazoa; Mollusca; Bivalvia; Mytilida; Mytilidae
Source: RNAcentral
GCAGCUUUCUAAUUGAAGCAUCACAUCUCCUUUCACUCUGAUGACAUAUACCAUCUAGUAUAAUUUCAGUUUUUAUGGUAAUAAAUUUAUUUUACUUUUUAAGGUAGAUAAUCUAAUUACUUCACAUAUAUGUAGAUUUUCAACAAUGUUAAAUGACAUUUUUUCCUGAAUGAAGUAUUUUGCCAGUGGUAUAUUAAUGACUU